This 328-nucleotide ribosomal RNA is filed under the name Rhodosorus marinus. RNAcentral's name for it is "partial Bacterial large subunit ribosomal RNA". It matches the Rfam family "Bacterial large subunit ribosomal RNA", at positions 2489 to 2816 of the family's 2925-position model. Lineage: Eukaryota; Rhodophyta; Stylonematophyceae; Stylonematales; Stylonemataceae. The record is from RNAcentral.
CGCCCAAGAGUUCACAUCGACGGCGGUGUUUGGCACCUCGAUGUCGGCUCAUCACAUCCUGGGGCUGAAGCCGGUCCCAAGGGUAUGGCUGUUCGCCAUUUAAAGUGGUACGCGAGCUGGGUUUAGAACGUCGUGAGACAGUUCGGUCCCUAUCUACCGUGGGCGUUGGAAAUUUGAGAGGAGCUGCUCCUAGUACGAGAGGACCAGAGUGGACGAACCACUGGUGUUCGGGUUGUCAUGCCAAUGGCAUUGCCCGGUAGCUACGUUCGGAUGGGAUAACCGCUGAAAGCAUCUAAGCGGGAAGCCCACCUCAAGAUUAGAUUUCCCU